GACGAACGCUGGCGGCGUGCUUAACACAUGCAAGUCGAACGGAAAGGCCCUGCUUUUGUGGGGUGCUCGAGUGGCGAACGGGUGAGUAACACGUGAGUAACCUGCCCUUGACUUUGGGAUAACUUCAGGAAACUGGGGCUAAUACCGGAUAGGAGCUCCUGCUGCAUGGUGGGGGUUGGAAAGUUUCGGCGGUUGGGGAUGGACUCGCGGCUCAUCAGCUUGUUGGUGGGGUAGUGGCUUACCAAGGCUUUGACGGGUAGCAGGCCUGAGAGGGUGACCGGACACAUUGGGACUGAGAUACGGCCCAGACUACUACGGGAGGCAGCAGUGGGGAAUAUUGCACAAUGGGCGGAAGCCUGAUGCAGCAACGCCGCGUGCGGGAUGACGGCCUUCGGGUUGUAAACCGCUUUCGCCUGUGACGAAGCGUGAGUGACGGUAAUGGGUAAAGAAGCACCGGCUAACUACGUG
RNAcentral lists this ribosomal RNA (468 nucleotides) under uncultured bacterium. RNAcentral's name for it is "partial 16S ribosomal RNA". It matches the Rfam family "Bacterial small subunit ribosomal RNA", at positions 28 to 507 of the family's 1533-position model. The record is from RNAcentral.